This 253-nucleotide ribosomal RNA is filed under the name uncultured bacterium. RNAcentral's name for it is "partial 16S ribosomal RNA". It matches the Rfam family "Bacterial small subunit ribosomal RNA", at positions 524 to 776 of the family's 1533-position model. The record is from RNAcentral.
GACGGGGGGGGCAAGUGUUCUUCGGAAUGACUGGGCGUAAAGGGCGCGUAGGCGGCUCAUGAAGGCCGUGGUGAAAGUCCGGGGCUCAACCUCGGAUCGGCCGUGGCGACUCGUGGGCUGGAGCACUGUAGAGGCGGGUGGAAUUCCGGGUGUAGCGGUGGAAUGCGUAGAGAUCCGGAAGAACACCAGUGGCGAAGGCGGCCCGCUGGGCAGUGGCUGACGCUGAGGCGCGACAGCGUGGGGAGCAAACAGG